GAAAAUACUGAAUACUGAGCUAACUGAUGCAAUGACCAAAUUUAUAACAUGCUGAGACUGAAUACUGACUGUACUGAAAUAUGGUCAAUGCAAUAGAGUCUGACUGAAUUGUGGGAGCUACUAAUAACCGACAUAAAACCACAUGAGCUAAAUGUGGAGUCCGAUGUAUAUGCCCCAUCGAGAGGACCCAAUAUACCCUGCCAG
Molecule: long non-coding RNA, 204 nt
Filed under: Solanum tuberosum (potato)
Lineage: Eukaryota; Viridiplantae; Streptophyta; Magnoliopsida; Solanales; Solanaceae
Description: long non-coding RNA (STUB_LNC006186)
Source: RNAcentral